CCUACGGGUGGCAGCAGUGAGGAAUAUUGGUCAAUGGGCGUAAGCCUGAACCAGCCAAGUCGCGGGAGGGAUGAAGGUUCUAUGGAUCGUAAACCUCUUUUAUAAGGGAAUAAAGAGUGGGACGUGUCCUGUUUUGUAUGUACCUUAUGAAUAAGGAUCGGCUAACUCCGUCCCAGCAGCCGAGGUAAUACGGAGGAUCCGAGCGUUAUCCGGAUUUAUUGGGUUUAAAGGGUGCGUAGGCGGCCUUUUAAGUCAGCGGUGAAAGGUUGUGGCUCACCCAUAGAAUUGCCGUUGAAACUGGGAGGCUGGAGGAUGUUUGAGGCAGGCGGAAUGCGUGGUGUAGCGGUGAAAUGCUUAGAUAUCACGCAGAACCCCGAUUGCGAAGGCAGCCUGCCAAGCCAUGACUGACGCUGAUGCACGAAAGCGUGGGGAUCAAACAGGAUUAGAUACCCUUGUAGUC
RNAcentral lists this ribosomal RNA (460 nucleotides) under uncultured bacterium. RNAcentral describes it as "partial 16S ribosomal RNA". It matches the Rfam family "Bacterial small subunit ribosomal RNA", at positions 338 to 795 of the family's 1533-position model. The record is from RNAcentral.